RNAcentral lists this long non-coding RNA (427 nucleotides) under Prunus dulcis (almond). Its description in RNAcentral is "sRNA ncRNA". The record is from RNAcentral. Lineage: Eukaryota; Viridiplantae; Streptophyta; Magnoliopsida; Rosales; Rosaceae.
GUAACGUGGGCUUGUAACUAAGUAGGGCAUUAAAGUGGUUGGUUGUUUGAGAAGCCUUGUUAGAUGAGGUGUGGCAAUCUUGGACUGUUCACCUUGGUGAAGUCGCACAAAGCACGCCCCUUGCCCUCGGGUUAGUGGGGGGCAGCGAACCCCAACUUGAUAUUAGAUUGGGGUGUUAAUACUACACCUCACGGGUCAAGAGCCAUCACACCCCAGCGUGCUGCCUAGCUUGGCCUCUCAUCACACAAUCACUUUUUUGAGAAAUUGGAAGUGGUCACUCAUUUUUGUUCAAUAAAAAUUGAAAUAAUGAUGCCAAAUCAUCCUUCUUAUUUAUUGUUAUUUUCCAGCAAUAUGUAGACUAUGUACAGUAUUAAUUAAUUAUAUAUUCCUAUAUAUUUGGUUCGAUGGCAGAAAUUUCUUUCACAAU